RNAcentral lists this ribosomal RNA (484 nucleotides) under uncultured bacterium. RNAcentral's name for it is "partial 16S ribosomal RNA". It matches the Rfam family "Bacterial small subunit ribosomal RNA", at positions 30 to 507 of the family's 1533-position model. The record is from RNAcentral.
AUUGAACGCUGGCGGCAGGCCUAACACAUGCAAGUCGAGCGGAUGAAGGGAGCUUGCUCCUGGAUUCAGCGGCGGACGGGUGAGUAAUGCCUAGGAAUCUGCCUGGUAGUGGGGGAUAACGUCCGGAAACGGGCGCUAAUACCGCAUACGUCCUGAGGGAGAAAGUGGGGGAUCUUCGGACCUCACGCUAUCAGAUGAGCCUAGGUCGGAUUAGCUAGUUGGUGGGGUAAAGGCCUACCAAGGCGACGAUCCGUAACUGGUCUGAGAGGAUGAUCAGUCAGACUGGAACUGAGACACGGUCCAGACUCCUACGGGAAGCAGCAGUGGGGAAUAUUGGACAAUGGGCGAAAGCCUGAUCCAGCCAUGCCGCGUGUGUGAAGAAGGUCUUCGGAUUGUAAAGCACUUUAAGUUGGGAGGAAGGGCAGUAAGUUAAUACCUUGCUGUUUUGACGUUACCAACAGAAUAAGCACCGGCUAACUUCGUG